CUGGAUGCUGACGAGCGGCGGACGGGUGAGUAAUGCAUAGGAAUCUGCCCGAUAGUGGGGGAUAACCUGGGGAAACCCAGGCUAAUACCGCAUACGUCCUACGGGAGAAAGGGGGCUCCGGCUCCCGCUAUGGGAUGAGCCUAUGUCGGAUUAGCUAGUUGGUGAGGUAACGGCUCACCAAGGCCACGAUCCGUAGCUGGUCUGAGAGGAUGAUCAGCCACAUCGGGACUGAGACACGGCCCGAACUCCUACGGGAGGCAGCAGUGGGGAAUAUUGGACAAUGGGGGAAACCCUGAUCCAGCCAUGCCGCGUGUGUGAAGAAGGCCCUCGGGUUGUAAAGCACUUUCAGCGAGGAAGAACGCCUAGCGGUUAAUACCCGCUAGGAAAGACAUCACUCGCAGAAGAAGCACCGGCUAACUCCGUGCCAGCAGCCGCGGUAAUACGGAGGGUGCAAGCGUUAAUCGGAAUUACUGGGCGUAAAGCGCGCGUAGGUGGCUUGAUAAGCCGGUUGUGAAAGCCCCGGGCUCAACCUGGGAACGGCAUCCGGAACUGUCAAGCUAGAGUGCAGGAGAGGAAGGUAGAAUUCCCGGUGUAGCGGUGAAAUGCGUAGAGAUCGGGAGGAAUACCAGUGGCGAAGGCGGCCUUCUGGACUGACACUGACACUGAGGUGCGAAAGCGUGGGUAGCAAACAGGAUUAGAUACCCUGGUAGUCCACGCCGUAAACGAUGUCGACCAGCCGUUGGGUGCCUAGCGCACUUUGUGGCGAAGUUAACGCGAUAAGUCGACCGCCUGGGGAGUACGGCCGCAAGGUUAAAACUCAAAUGAAUUGACGGGGGCCCGCACAAGCGGUGGAGCAUGUGGUUUAAUUCGAUGCAAC
RNAcentral lists this ribosomal RNA (877 nucleotides) under Halomonas sp. B002. RNAcentral describes it as "bacterial SSU rRNA". It matches the Rfam family "Bacterial small subunit ribosomal RNA", at positions 81 to 960 of the family's 1533-position model. The record is from RNAcentral. Lineage: Bacteria; Pseudomonadati; Pseudomonadota; Gammaproteobacteria; Oceanospirillales; Halomonadaceae.